RNAcentral lists this ribosomal RNA (678 nucleotides) under uncultured Nitrososphaerota archaeon. RNAcentral describes it as "bacterial SSU rRNA". It matches the Rfam family "Archaeal small subunit ribosomal RNA", at positions 79 to 760 of the family's 1478-position model. The record is from RNAcentral. Lineage: Archaea; Thermoproteati; Nitrososphaerota.
UGGCAUACGGCUCAGUAACACGUAGUCAACAUGCCCAGGGGACGUGGAUAACCUCGGGAAACUGAGGAUAAACCGCGAUAGGUCAUCACUUCUGGAAUGGGUAAUGACUUAAAUCUAUAUGGCCCCUGGAUUGGACUGCGGCCGAUCAGGCUGUUGGUGAGGUAAUGGCCCACCAAACCUGUAACCGGUACGGGCUCUGAGAGGAGGAGCCCGGAGAUGGGCACUGAGACAAGGGCCCAGGCCCUAUGGGGCGCAGCAGGCGCGAAACCUCUGCAAUAGGCGAAAGCUUGACAGGGUUACUCUGAGUGAUUUCCGUUAAGGAGAUCUUUUGGCACCUCUAAAAAUGGUGCAGAAUAAGGGGUGGGCAAGUCUGGUGUCAGCCGCCGCGGUAAUACCAGCACCCCGAGUGGUCGGGACGUUUAUUGGGCCUAAAGCAUCCGUAGCCGGUUCUACAAGUCUUCCGUUAAAUCCACCUGCUUAACAGAUGGGCUGCGGAAGAUACUAUAGAGCUAGGAGGCGGGAGAGGCAAGCGGUACUCGAUGGGUAGGGGUAAAAUCCGUUGAUCCAUUGAAGACCACCAGUGGCGAAGGCGGCUUGCCAGAACGCGCUCGACGGUGAGGGAUGAAAGCUGGGGGAGCAAACCGGAUUAGAUACCCGGGUAGUCCCAGCUGUAAACGA